GGGGACACAACUCCAGCCAGCCAGCCAAGGCAGGCAGGCAGGGGCCACAACUCCAGCCAGCCAGCCAAGGCAGGCAGGCAGGGGACACGACUCCAGCCAGCCAGCCAGCCAAGGCAGGCAGGCAGGGGCCACGACUCCAGCCAGCCAGCCAAGGCAGGCAGGCAGGGGACACGACUCCAGCCAGCCAGCCAAGGCAGGCAGGCAGGGGCCAUGACUCCAGCCAGCCAGCCAAGGCAGGCAGGCAGGGGACACGACUCCAGCCAGCCAGCCAGCCAAGGCAGGCAGACUGGGGCCACGACUCCAGCCAGCCAGCCAAGGCAGGCAGGCAGGGGCCAAGACUCCAGCCAGCCAGCCAAGGCAGGCAGGCAGGGGCCAUGACUCCAGCCAGCCAGCCAAGGCAGGCAGGCAGGGGACACAACUCCAGCCAGCCAGCCAAGGCAGGCAGGCAGGGGACACGACUCCAGACAGCCAGCCAGCCAAGGCAGGCAGGCAGGGGCCAUGACUCCAGCCAGCCAGCCAAGGCAAGGCAGGCAGGGGCCAAGACUCCAGCCAGCCAGCCAAGGCAGGCAGGCAGGGGCCACGACUCCAGACAGCCAGCCAAGGCAAGCAGGCAGGGGCCACGACUCCAGACAGCCAGCCAAGGUAGGCAGGCAGGGGCCACGACUCCAGCCAGCCAGCCAAGGCAGGCAGGCAGGGGCCAUGACUCCAGCCAGCCAGCCAAGGCAGGCAGGCAGGCAGGGGCCAAGACUCCAGCCAGCCAGCCAAGGCAGGCAGGCAGGGGCCAUGACUCCAGCCAGCCAGCCAAGGCAGGCAGGCAGGGGCCAUGACUCCAGCCAGCCAGCCAAGGCAGGCAGGCAGGGGCCACGACUCCAGCCAGCCAGCCAAGGCAGGCAGGCAGGGGCCACGACUCCAGCCAGCCAGCCAAGGCAGGCAGGCAGGGGACACGACUCCAGCCAGCCAGCCAGCCAAGGCAGGCAGGCAGGGGCCACGACUCCAGCCAGCCAGCCAAGGCAGGCAGGCAGAGGACACGACUCCAGCCAGCCAGCCAAGGCAAGCAGGCAGGGGCCACGACUCCAGACAGCCAGCCAAGGUAGGCAGGCAGGGGCCACGACUCCAGCCAGCCAGCCAAGGCAGGCAGGCAGGGGCCAUGACUCCAGCCAGCCAGCCAAGGCAGGCAGGCAGGGGCCACGACUCCAGCCAUCCAGCCAAGGCAAGCAGGCAGGGGCCACGACUCCAGACAGCCAGCCAAGGUAGGCAGGCAGGGGCCACGACUCCAGCCAGCCAGCCAAGGCAGGCAGGCAGGGGCCAUGACUCCAGCCAGCCAGCCAAGGCAGGCAGGCAGGCAGGGGCCAAGACUCCAGCCAGCCAGCCAAGGCAGGCAGGCAGGGGCCACGACUCCAGCCAGCCAGCCAAGGCAGGCAGGCAGGGGCCAUGACUCCAGCCAGCCAGCCAAGGCAGGCAGGCAGGGGCCACGACUCCAGCCAGCCAGCCAAGGCAGGCAGGUAGGGGCCAUGACUCCAGCCAGCC
Long non-coding RNA from Tympanuchus pallidicinctus (lesser prairie-chicken), 1527 nucleotides. RefSeq lists it as uncharacterized. Lineage: Eukaryota; Metazoa; Chordata; Aves; Galliformes; Phasianidae. The transcript has 3 exons. The record is from RefSeq and is a predicted model, not a curated record.